GAUGAACGCUGGCGGCGUGCCUAAUACAUGCAAGUCGAGCGAACGGACGAUAAGCUUUCUUCUUUGCUGUUAGCGGCUGACGGGUGAGUAACACGUGGAUCACCUACUUCUAAUACUUGGAUAACUUCGUGAAACCGCAGCUAAUACCAGCUCAUAUUUUCAACCGCAUGGUUCAAGAGUUCACGACGGCCUUCCUGUCUCUUUUAGAUGGAUCCGCGCUGCAUUAGCUAGUUGGUAAGGUAACGGCGUACCAAGGCAACGAUGCAUAGCCGACCUGAGAGGGUGAUCGGCCACACUGGAACUGAGACACGGUCCAGACUCCUACGGGAGGCAGCAGUAGGGAAUAUUCCGCAAUGGGCGAAAGCCUGACGGAGCAACGCCGCGUGAGUGAUGAAGGUCUUCGGAUCGUAAAACUCUGUUAUUAGGGAAGAACAUAUGUGUAAGUAAAUGUGGACAUCUUGACGGUACCUAAUCAGAAAGCAACGGCUAACUACGUG
Molecule: ribosomal RNA, 497 nt
Filed under: uncultured bacterium
Lineage: Bacteria
Description: partial 16S ribosomal RNA
Rfam family: Bacterial small subunit ribosomal RNA
Source: RNAcentral